Molecule: ribosomal RNA, 518 nt
Filed under: uncultured microorganism
Description: bacterial SSU rRNA
Rfam family: Bacterial small subunit ribosomal RNA
Source: RNAcentral
GAGUUUGAUCCUGGCUCAGGAUGAACGCUGGCGGCGUGCUUAACACAUGCAAGUCGAACGAAGCGCCUUAUUUGAUUUUCUUCGGAACUGAAGAUUUGGUGACUGAGUGGCGGACGGGUGAGUAACGCGUGGGUAACCUGCCCUGUACAGGGGGAUAACAAUCAGAAAUGACUGCUAAUACCGCAUAAGACCACAGCACCGCAUGGUGCAGGGGUAAAAACUCCGGUGGUACAGGAUGGACCCGCGUCUGAUUAGCUGGUUGGUGAGGUAACGGCUCACCAAGGCGACGAUCAGUAGCCGGCUUGAGAGAGUGAACGGCCACAUUGGGACUGAGACACGGCCCAAACUCCUACGGGAGGCAGCAGUGGGGAAUAUUGCACAAUGGGGGAAACCCGUGAUGCGGCAACGCCGCGUGAGUGAAGAAGUAUUUCGGUAUGUAAAGCUCUAUCAGCAGGGAAGAAAGUGACGGUACCUGACUAAGAAGCCCCGGCUAACUACGUGCCAGCCGCCGCCGUAAC